GUUCCACUGCAGACGUGUACACACGAUGGAUAGAAUAUUUUUGAAAUUUUUUUCUGUUAUGAUCAUUUUUUUCGUUUUUGACUUUGACGAUAUUGACAAAAUUUUGUUGAUCAUUUUUAUAGUUAUUUUGAUAUUUUUGCCAAGGAAUUAAUUCUCGCUUUGAAAAUACCAUAUCCUAUUGUCUUCUCAUCCCAAAAUUGCAAAUCACGGGAAUUUUAUGUACAGAAUGUUGAUCAAAGCGGCAGCAUUUUUUGGCCCCCCCCCCCCGUCUCGACCGAAAUCAUACCUGGAAAUCGCUGAGGACCUGCAUGGUACCACAGUGACAAUCCUUCUGUUUCUUACUUUUCUACACAAAUGUGCCUGUGACAUUGUUAUCGCAUUUUCGAAGAAGUGACGAGGGAAUCGUAAAAGAGUUGCGCUAGUUUAUGGUCAAAUGUGCGCCCCCCGAGAUGCGUAUCAUCAAAAUAUAUUUUGUUUUUAUGGCGCAAAUUUAAGUAGCAAUUUUAUGAUUCCAUAUUAUUUACGACGCAUAUUUGUCACCUUACUUAUCAUUUCUAAAAAAUUUAAAAGAAUA
Molecule: long non-coding RNA, 574 nt
Organism: Daphnia pulicaria
Lineage: Eukaryota; Metazoa; Arthropoda; Branchiopoda; Diplostraca; Daphniidae
Exons: 3
Source: RefSeq, a predicted model, not a curated record